GGUUUCAAAUAACGGCCGUUAUGUUACAGGUUUUGAAAGGGGCCAUUACGCGUGAGGCCGUUAUUUGCAGGCAAAUAAGUACUUGCAGGUGUAACAGUCGUUUGUAAUGGUAAUGGCCAUUAUUGACUGUUAAAAAACAGUAAUGACCAUUAUUUUAAAGAUUCUUUUGCCAUUUUUUCCUAUGUGCAUAGAAUUUUAGUGCGCUUCUUCUUGUCUCUGCUUGCAGCACUUCAGUAGCUACUGUUUUGCUUCAAUUUCUCUCAAAUUUUCA
RNAcentral lists this unclassified non-coding RNA (271 nucleotides) under Hevea brasiliensis (rubber tree). Lineage: Eukaryota; Viridiplantae; Streptophyta; Magnoliopsida; Malpighiales; Euphorbiaceae. The record is from RNAcentral.